This 253-nucleotide ribosomal RNA is filed under the name uncultured bacterium. RNAcentral describes it as "partial 16S ribosomal RNA". It matches the Rfam family "Bacterial small subunit ribosomal RNA", at positions 524 to 776 of the family's 1533-position model. The record is from RNAcentral.
UACAGAGGGUGCGAGCGUUAAUCGGAAUUACUGGGCGUAAAGCGUGCGUAGACGGUUUCGUAAGUCGGGUGUGAAAUCCCCGGGCUCAACCUGGGACCUGCAUUUGUGACUGCAUCGCUAGAGUACGGUAGAGGGGGAUGGAAUUCCGCGUGUAGCAGUGAAAUGCGUAGAUAUGCGGAGGAACACCGAUGGCGAAGGCAAUCCCCUGGACCUGUACUGACGCUCAUGCACGAAAGCGUGGGGAGCAAACAGG